This 695-nucleotide long non-coding RNA is filed under the name Musa acuminata (dwarf banana). RNAcentral's name for it is "long non-coding RNA (MACU_LNC009859)". Lineage: Eukaryota; Viridiplantae; Streptophyta; Magnoliopsida; Zingiberales; Musaceae. The record is from RNAcentral.
AAAGGCUAUAACCACUGCCUGUGAGUCUGUAGUUCCUUACUGAGGUAUCACUUCACUAACUUCAGUCUGUAGCCCACCUAUGAUUCUUAUACUGAUAGCUUUCAACCCUCUGCUAUACUUAAUGGAAUUCGCGUUUAGGUCUGCUCCCCUGUGUCGGCUAACUCGAAUGCCUUUCACCCUAACUGCCCUAGCUAUCAAACAGCAAUUGGUGCCUAGAAGAUAUGAGAAUGGGUACUUUCCCCCCCAAAGAGAAUGAGAUUGCUCACUAUCAGAUUCCACUAUGAUGGAUGGCACCGACACCCUAUGAAUUAGUGCCCCAGACUUAUAGCUAUAGUACCAAGCUUGGAUUCUGAUUCUCUUCAGGGAACGAUCUAGUCUCCGGCUUUCACCUGUCAUUCGUAGUACGGAUAUCCUUGCUUGUUUUUCCUCUAUCUUUUCUUACUGAAAUACCUUAUUUGUUGACUUAUAUUAUGAUAUUAGUAAUGCCCCUUACCAGAAAUCCUACUCCAUGUACUUGGGUACAACAAGACACAAUUUCAUAGGUUAGAAUUCCGCAAGUAAGGAUCGGGCCUAUAAGUAUAGUCAAUAAGGAUUUGUCUUAAGCUUGGAACCCGGGCGACUGUCUUACACCCCAUAUCUCUUGGGUUGGUCUGCCUCCUGUAACUCCCCUAGAACCUGGCUUCAAUGCCUAUUAG